GUUGAUGACACAGAAGUGAUUAGUUUCCUUCUUUCUACUGAGAUUAUUCCGCUAUGUCUGCGAACUAUGGAGAUGGGAAGUGAAUUAUC
Molecule: small RNA, 89 nt
Filed under: Salix viminalis (osier)
Lineage: Eukaryota; Viridiplantae; Streptophyta; Magnoliopsida; Malpighiales; Salicaceae
Source: RNAcentral